Molecule: ribosomal RNA, 2904 nt
Filed under: Escherichia coli
Lineage: Bacteria; Pseudomonadati; Pseudomonadota; Gammaproteobacteria; Enterobacterales; Enterobacteriaceae
Description: bacterial LSU rRNA
Rfam family: Bacterial large subunit ribosomal RNA
Source: RNAcentral
UUAAGCGACUAAGCGUACACGGUGGAUGCCCUGGCAGUCAGAGGCGAUGAAGGACGUGCUAAUCUGCGAUAAGCGUCGGUAAGGUGAUAUGAACCGUUAUAACCGGCGAUUUCCGAAUGGGGAAACCCAGUGUGAUUCGUCACACUAUCAUUAACUGAAUCCAUAGGUUAAUGAGGCGAACCGGGGGAACUGAAACAUCUAAGUACCCCGAGGAAAAGAAAUCAACCGAGAUUCCCCCAGUAGCGGCGAGCGAACGGGGAGCAGCCCAGAGCCUGAAUCAGUGUGUGUGUUAGUGGAAGCGUCUGGAAAGGCGCGCGAUACAGGGUGACAGCCCCGUACACAAAAAUGCACAUGCUGUGAGCUCGAUGAGUAGGGCGGGACACGUGGUAUCCUGUCUGAAUAUGGGGGGACCAUCCUCCAAGGCUAAAUACUCCUGACUGACCGAUAGUGAACCAGUACCGUGAGGGAAAGGCGAAAAGAACCCCGGCGAGGGGAGUGAAAAAGAACCUGAAACCGUGUACGUACAAGCAGUGGGAGCACAGAGCAAUCUGUGUGACUGCGUACCUUUUGUAUAAUGGGUCAGCGACUUAUAUUCUGUAGCAAGGUUAACCGAAUAGGGGAGCCGAAGGGAAACCGAGUCUUAACUGGGCGUUAAGUUGCAGGGUAUAGACCCGAAACCCGGUGAUCUAGCCAUGGGCAGGUUGAAGGUUGGGUAACACUAACUGGAGGACCGAACCGACUAAUGUUGAAAAAUUAGCGGAUGACUUGUGGCUGGGGGUGAAAGGCCAAUCAAACCGGGAGAUAGCUGGUUCUCCCCGAAAGCUAUUUAGGUAGCGCCUCGUGAAUUCAUCUCCGGGGGUAGAGCACUGUUUCGGCAAGGGGGUCAUCCCGACUUACCAACCCGAUGCAAACUGCGAAUACCGGAGAAUGUUAUCACGGGAGACACACGGCGGGUGCUAACGUCCGUCGUGAAGAGGGAAACAACCCAGACCGCCAGCUAAGGUCCCAAAGUCAUGGUUAAGUGGGAAACGAUGUGGGAAGGCCCAGACAGCCAGGAUGUUGGCUUAGAAGCAGCCAUCAUUUAAAGAAAGCGUAAUAGCUCACUGGUCGAGUCGGCCUGCGCGGAAGAUGUAACGGGGCUAAACCAUGCACCGAAGCUGCGGCAGCGACGCUGAUGCGUUGUUGGGUAGGGGAGCGUUCUGUAAGCCUGCGAAGGUGUGCUGUGAGGCAUGCUGGAGGUAUCAGAAGUGCGAAUGCUGACAUAAGUAACGAUAAAGCGGGUGAAAAGCCCGCUCGCCGGAAGACCAAGGGUUCCUGUCCAACGUUAAUCGGGGCAGGGUGAGUCGACCCCUAAGGCGAGGCCGAAAGGCGUAGUCGAUGGGAAACAGGUUAAUAUUCCUGUACUUGGUGUUACUGCGAAGGGGGGACGGAGAAGGCUAUGUUGGCCGGGCGACGGUUGUCCCGGUUUAAGCGUGUAGGCUGGUUUUCCAGGCAAAUCCGGAAAAUCAAGGCUGAGGCGUGAUGACGAGGCACUACGGUGCUGAAGCAACAAAUGCCCUGCUUCCAGGAAAAGCCUCUAAGCAUCAGGUAACAUCAAAUCGUACCCCAAACCGACACAGGUGGUCAGGUAGAGAAUACCAAGGCGCUUGAGAGAACUCGGGUGAAGGAACUAGGCAAAAUGGUGCCGUAACUUCGGGAGAAGGCACGCUGAUAUGUAGGUGAAGUCCCUCGCGGAUGGAGCUGAAAUCAGUCGAAGAUACCAGCUGGCUGCAACUGUUUAUUAAAAACACAGCACUGUGCAAACACGAAAGUGGACGUAUACGGUGUGACGCCUGCCCGGUGCCGGAAGGUUAAUUGAUGGGGUUAGCGCAAGCGAAGCUCUUGAUCGAAGCCCCGGUAAACGGCGGCCGUAACUAUAACGGUCCUAAGGUAGUGAAAUUCCUUGUCGGGUAAGUUCCGACCUGCACGAAUGGCGUAAUGAUGGCCAGGCUGUCUCCACCCGAGACUCAGUGAAAUUGAACUCGCUGUGAAGAUGCAGUGUACCCGCGGCAAGACGGAAAGACCCCGUGAACCUUUACUAUAGCUUGACACUGAACAUUGAGCCUUGAUGUGUAGGAUAGGUGGGAGGCUUUGAAGUGUGGACGCCAGUCUGCAUGGAGCCGACCUUGAAAUACCACCCUUUAAUGUUUGAUGUUCUAACGUUGACCCGUAAUCCGGGUUGCGGACAGUGUCUGGUGGGUAGUUUGACUGGGGCGGUCUCCUCCUAAAGAGUAACGGAGGAGCACGAAGGUUGGCUAAUCCUGGUCGGACAUCAGGAGGUUAGUGCAAUGGCAUAAGCCAGCUUGACUGCGAGCGUGACGGCGCGAGCAGGUGCGAAAGCAGGUCAUAGUGAUCCGGUGGUUCUGAAUGGAAGGGCCAUCGCUCAACGGAUAAAAGGUACUCCGGGGAUAACAGGCUGAUACCGCCCAAGAGUUCAUAUCGACGGCGGUGUUUGGCACCUCGAUGUCGGCUCAUCACAUCCUGGGGCUGAAGUAGGUCCCAAGGGUAUGGCUGUUCGCCAUUUAAAGUGGUACGCGAGCUGGGUUUAGAACGUCGUGAGACAGUUCGGUCCCUAUCUGCCGUGGGCGCUGGAGAACUGAGGGGGGCUGCUCCUAGUACGAGAGGACCGGAGUGGACGCAUCACUGGUGUUCGGGUUGUCAUGCCAAUGGCACUGCCCGGUAGCUAAAUGCGGAAGAGAUAAGUGCUGAAAGCAUCUAAGCACGAAACUUGCCCCGAGAUGAGUUCUCCCUGACUCCUUGAGAGUCCUGAAGGAACGUUGAAGACGACGACGUUGAUAGGCCGGGUGUGUAAGCGCAGCGAUGCGUUGAGCUAACCGGUACUAAUGAACCGUGAGGCUUAACCUU